GCGUACAUUCCCAACUUUUCUGCUGCUAGACGGUCCAAGACGGAACAGUAAACAAGCAACAGCCUUGGCGGAAAAUGCAGUUACGCACGCUGGGGAUGAACGGCUUAGAGCAGAACCUUCUUUCUCGGGAAAGUUUGGACGCUUUAGAGGAAGAAAUUGCCAUAUUACACAACUUGGCCUGCACGGCUGGCUGCGGGAGGUGCAGCGAUCCAUCAGCAGAGCUCUGCCAUUAGAAAGCCAUCUGUAAGCCGCAGCGUGCCAGUGGCGCUCACGGUCUCAAGAAGGUCCCGCCUGCUGAACAAUUCAGCGUGAUUGAUAUGAAUCGUU
Long non-coding RNA from Entelurus aequoreus (snake pipefish), 327 nucleotides. RefSeq lists it as uncharacterized. Lineage: Eukaryota; Metazoa; Chordata; Actinopteri; Syngnathiformes; Syngnathidae. The transcript has 3 exons. The record is from RefSeq and is a predicted model, not a curated record.